GGAUGUGAGACAAUCUGGCUGCGACAUCUGUCACCCCAUUGAUCACCAGGGUCGAUUCGGCUCAUCUGGCUGGCUAGGAGGGUGUCCCCUUCCUCCCUCACCGCUCCAUGUGUGUCCCUCCCGAAGCUGCACAGUUGGUCGAAGAGGACGACCACCCCAAGAGAGGAGGACGAUAACUGGAAAUGGGAG
Molecule: small nuclear RNA, 189 nt
Filed under: Fukomys damarensis (Damara mole-rat)
Lineage: Eukaryota; Metazoa; Chordata; Mammalia; Rodentia; Bathyergidae
Description: 7SK RNA
Rfam family: 7SK RNA
About the family: 7SK was discovered as an abundant small nuclear RNA in the mid-70s but a possible function has only recently been suggested. Two independent studies have found that 7SK RNA binds the CDK9/cyclin T complex (known as elongation factor P-TEFb).
Source: Rfam by way of RNAcentral